This 584-nucleotide ribosomal RNA is filed under the name uncultured bacterium. RNAcentral's name for it is "bacterial SSU rRNA". It matches the Rfam family "Bacterial small subunit ribosomal RNA", at positions 102 to 682 of the family's 1533-position model. The record is from RNAcentral.
ACGGGUGAGUAAUACUUAGGAAUCUGCCUAUUAAUGGGGGACAACAUCUCGAAAGGAACGCUAAUACCGCAUACGUCCUACGGGAGAAAGCAGGGGACCUUCGGGCCUUGCGCUAUCAGAUGAGCCUAGGUCGGAUUAGCUAGUUGGUGAGGUAAUGGCUCACCAAGGCGACGAUCCGUAACUGGUCUGAGAGGAUGAUCAGUCACACUGGAACUGAGACACGGUCCAGACUCCUACGGGAGGCAGCAGUGGGGAAUAUUGGACAAUGGGCGAAAGCCUGAUCCAGCCAUGCCGCGUGUGUGAAGAAGGUCUUCGGAUUGUAAAGCACUUUAAGUUGGGAGGAAGGGUUGUAGAUUAAUACUCUGCAAUUUUGACGUUACCGACAGAAUAAGCACCGGCUAACUCUGUGCCAGCAGCCGCGGUAAUACAGAGGGUGCAAGCGUUAAUCGGAAUUACUGGGCGUAAAGCGCGCGUAGGUGGUUCGUUAAGUUGGAUGUGAAAUCCCCGGGCUCAACCUGGGAACUGCAUCCAAAACUGGCGAGCUAGAGUAUGGUAGAGGGUGGUGGAAUUUCCUGUGUAGCGGU